This 233-nucleotide unclassified non-coding RNA is filed under the name Hevea brasiliensis (rubber tree). Lineage: Eukaryota; Viridiplantae; Streptophyta; Magnoliopsida; Malpighiales; Euphorbiaceae. The record is from RNAcentral.
AAAAAUGAGAUUGUUGACUUGUCAUCAAUAACAAGGGAAAAUUUGAAGAGAUUGUUCAUGUACAUUGACAAGUUGCCUCUCAUCAUUCCAGACCCAAUAUAUGCCUCCUAUGAUCACCGUUACAGGUGAGGACUAUCUUGUGCAGAACUGGAAUUUUUUGUAUAUAAUAUCUAGUUGAUUGUAUAUGAUUAUUGUUUCUCCUUCGUUUGGAAGACAUUUUAGAAUUGUAAAUA